Molecule: ribosomal RNA, 551 nt
Filed under: Hortaea werneckii
Lineage: Eukaryota; Fungi; Ascomycota; Dothideomycetes; Mycosphaerellales; Teratosphaeriaceae
Description: eukaryotic LSU rRNA
Rfam family: 5.8S ribosomal RNA (bases 195-348)
Source: RNAcentral
UCGUAACAAGGUCUCCGUAGGUGAACCUGCGGAGGGAUCAUUACUGAGUGUGGGCUCCGGCCCUACCUCCAACCCCAUGUCGAAACGACUCUGUUGCCUCGGGGGCGACCCGGCCUUCGGGCGUCGGGGCCCCCGGUGGACACCUUCAUAACUCUUGCAUCUCUUGCGUCUGAGUGAUACAUAUAAUCAAUCAAAACUUUCAACAACGGAUCUCUUGGUUCUGGCAUCGAUGAAGAACGCAGCGAAAUGCGAUAAGUAAUGUGAAUUGCAGAAUUCAGUGAAUCAUCGAAUCUUUGAACGCACAUUGCGCCCCCUGGCAUUCCGGGGGGCAUGCCUGUUCGAGCGUCAUUACACCACUCAAGCCUGGCUUGGUAUUGAGCGCCGCGGCCUGCCCGCGCGCUCCAAUGUCUCCGGCUGAGCCGUCCGUCUCUAAGCGUUGUGAAUAGCGAUCGCUUGCGAGGCCCGGGCGGUUCGACGCCGUUAAACCCCCCAUUUUCUAUGGUUGACCUCGGAUCAGGUAGGGAUACCCGCUGAACUUAAGCAUAUCAAUA